RNAcentral lists this transfer RNA (63 nucleotides) under Ictidomys tridecemlineatus (thirteen-lined ground squirrel). RNAcentral describes it as "Spermophilus tridecemlineatus (thirteen-lined ground squirrel) tRNA". It matches the Rfam family "tRNA", at positions 5 to 66 of the family's 71-position model. Rfam says of the family: Transfer RNA (tRNA) molecules are approximately 80 nucleotides in length. Their secondary structure includes four short double-helical elements and three loops (D, anti-codon, and T loops). The record is from Rfam by way of RNAcentral. Lineage: Eukaryota; Metazoa; Chordata; Mammalia; Rodentia; Sciuridae.
UUGUGGCUCAGUGGUAGAGUGCUCACCUAGCACAUGUGAGGCCCUGGGUUCGAUCCUCAGCAA